CCUACGGGUGGCAGCAGUGGGGAAUAUUGCACAAUGGGGGAAACCCUGAUGCAGCGACGCCGCGUGAGUGAAGAAGUAAUUCGUUAUGUAAAGCCCUAUUAGCAGGGAAGAAAAUGACGGUAUCUGAGUAAGAAGCCCCGGCUAACUACGUGCCAGCAGCCGCGGUAAUACGUAGGGGGCAAGCGUUAUUCGGAUUUACUGGGUGUAAAGGGAGCGUAGGCGGGAGAGCAAGUCUGAGGUGAAAGGCGGGGGCUUAACCCUCGGACUGCCCUGGAAACUGUACUGCUGGAGUGUAGGAGAGGUAGGUGGAAUUCCUGGUGUAGCGGUAAAAUGCGUAGAUAUUAGGAGGAACACCAAUGGCGAAGGCGACUUGCUAGACUGUAACUGACGUUGAGGCUCGAAAGCGUGGGGAGCAAACAGGAUUAGAUACCCGGGUAGUC
Molecule: ribosomal RNA, 440 nt
Filed under: uncultured bacterium
Lineage: Bacteria
Description: partial 16S ribosomal RNA
Rfam family: Bacterial small subunit ribosomal RNA
Source: RNAcentral